GACGAACGCUGGCGGCGUGCUUAACACAUGCAAGUCGAACGGAAAAGCCCUGCUUUUGUGGGGUGCUCGAGUGGCGAACGGGUGAGUAACACGUGAGUAACCUGCCCUUUACUUUGGGAUAACUUCAGGAAACUGGGGCUAAUACCGGAUAGGAGCUCCUGCUGCAUGGUGGGGGUUGGAAAGUUUCGGCGGUUGGGGAUGGACUCGCGGCUUAUCAGCUUGUUGGUGGGGGAGUGGCUUACCCAGGCUUUGACGGGUAGCCGGCAUGGGAGGGUGACCGGCCACAUGGGGACUGAGAGACGGCCCAGAGGGCUACGUGAGGCAGCAGGGGGGAAUAUGGCACAAUGAGCGGAAGCCUGAUGCAGAGGCGCCGCGUGCGGGAUGACGGUCUUCGGGGUGGAAAGCGCUUUCGCCUGUGACGAAGCGGGAGUGACGGUAAUGGGUAAAGAAGCACCGGCUAACUACGUG
Molecule: ribosomal RNA, 468 nt
Filed under: uncultured bacterium
Lineage: Bacteria
Description: partial 16S ribosomal RNA
Rfam family: Bacterial small subunit ribosomal RNA
Source: RNAcentral